This 433-nucleotide ribosomal RNA is filed under the name uncultured bacterium. Its description in RNAcentral is "partial 16S ribosomal RNA". It matches the Rfam family "Bacterial small subunit ribosomal RNA", at positions 29 to 507 of the family's 1533-position model. The record is from RNAcentral.
AGCGAACGCUGGCGGCAGGCCUAACACAUGCAAGUCGAACGGAUCCUUCGGGAUUAGUGGCGGACGGGGGAGUAACACGUGGGAACGUGCCCUUUGGUUCGGAACAUCUCAGGGAAACUUGAGCUAAUACCGGCUGUGCCCCUCCGUGGAAAGAUUUAUCGCCAUUGGGGCGGCCUGCGUCUGAUAACUUAGUUGGUGAGGUAACGGCCCACCACGGCUGGGAUCAGUAGCUGGUCUCAGAGAAUGAUCAGCCACACUGGGACUGAGACACGGUGCAGACUCUUACGGAAGGCAGCAGUGGGGGAUCUAGCGCAAUGGGCGAAAUGCUGACGCUGCCAUGCCGGGAAAAUGAUGAAGGUCUGAGGAAAGUGAAGUUCUUUCAGCGGGGGCGGUAAUGACGGUACCCGCAGAAGAAGCUCCGGCUAACUUCGUG